This 273-nucleotide small nucleolar RNA is filed under the name Gouania willdenowi (blunt-snouted clingfish). The record is from RNAcentral. Lineage: Eukaryota; Metazoa; Chordata; Actinopteri; Blenniiformes; Gobiesocidae.
GCCCCAUGAUGAGACCAAGGCGAAUAUGAGCUCAUUAAAUAGGAGCUGGGUUUCUCUGGAUGUGACUGGCAGGUAAUCUUGGCUCUGCAGAGGAGCUUUCCUGCACUGCUGUAAGGGCCUGCCUACAUCAACCUGGCUUAACUCUGAUUGCUCCCUCACAGUCAUGGUGGAGCAUAAGAACCAAGCCGACAAUUGUGAGCGUGUGCGAAAUGGUCACGGGGUCACCCAGCUUGAGUCGAGCCAUGAAUUUGUCUCUUUGGUAAUCUGAGGGCU